This 253-nucleotide ribosomal RNA is filed under the name uncultured bacterium. RNAcentral's name for it is "partial 16S ribosomal RNA". It matches the Rfam family "Bacterial small subunit ribosomal RNA", at positions 524 to 776 of the family's 1533-position model. The record is from RNAcentral.
UACAGAGGGUGCAAGCGUUAAUCGGAAUUACUGGGCGUAAAGCGUGCGCAGGCGGUGAUGUAAGACAGAUGUGAAAUCCCCGGGCUCAACCUGGGAACUGCAUUUGUGACUGCAUCGCUGGAGUGCGGCAGAGGGGGAUGGAAUUCCGCGUGUAGCAGUGAAAUGCGUAGAUAUGCGGAGGAACACCGAUGGCGAAGGCAAUCCCCUGGGCCUGCACUGACGCUCAUGCACGAAAGCGUGGGGAUCAAACAGG